GACGAGCUCCCCGAACGUUAUUCGGUAUCACUGGGCUUAAAGAGUUCGUAGGCGGUCUGGUAGGUGAGGUGUGAAAUCCCCCGGCUCAACCGGGGAACUGCGCUUCAAACCACCGGACUUGAGGGAGACAGAGGUGGGCGGAACAGAUGGUGGAGCGGUGAAAUGCGUUGAUAUCAUCUGGAACACCGGUGGCGAAAGCGGCCCACUGGGUCUUUUCUGACGCUGAGGAACGAAAGCUAGGGUAGCGAACGGGAUUAGAUACCCCGGUAGUCCUAGCCGUAAACGAUGAGCACUAGCCCGUGGGGACUUUCACAUCCUCUCGGGCGUAGCGAAAGUGUUAAGUGCUCCGCCUGGGGAGUAUGGUCGCAAGGCUGAA
Molecule: ribosomal RNA, 376 nt
Filed under: uncultured bacterium
Lineage: Bacteria
Description: bacterial SSU rRNA
Rfam family: Bacterial small subunit ribosomal RNA
Source: RNAcentral